RNAcentral lists this unclassified non-coding RNA (482 nucleotides) under Hevea brasiliensis (rubber tree). Lineage: Eukaryota; Viridiplantae; Streptophyta; Magnoliopsida; Malpighiales; Euphorbiaceae. The record is from RNAcentral.
GCCGGCUUAUCCUUUUUGUGAGUAAUUUGCUUGAUACUCUCUUGUUAAAUCGGUCUGUUUUGGUUGUGUUAGUGGUUUCUUGGAUGAUUUAUUUGGUCAGGUUUUGUUGGAUGACGUGUCUUGGAUUGCACAAUGGAUUGUGUUAUUGCAACUUCUGUUUCGCAAUUAUUGGUUUAGCAAUAGUUUGCUUUGUCCCUGUGGAGCUUAUCUUGAUGUAUGAAAUCGGCCUUCUGUUUUGGUAUGUGCCUCUGUUGGAAUAGGGAAAUUCUAAUCCAUUUAAAUGUCCCUCAUAAAGCAAAUAAACGUAAUGUUUCGUUGUACAGCUGCUUCUGUGAUACUGCUAAGAGUGGGGUUUGGCUUGGUUGUGGUAGACCAUAGAUUCUUAUCUAGCUUUACCAAGACUUUGGUUUUUGCGGUUUGGUGUUCCUUAUGCAAUAUGGGUUCAAAGAUGUGCUUUCAUCCUAGUGUUAUUUUUCCCCUGA